CUUGUCAUUCAUUGAUAUCUAACAAGCACAUGUACAGUAUUCUACACUAUGUAUUAUUUAUGUGACUGCAUCAGCCAUCAGUAACAGCAUCUCUUAAUGAGUCCACAAGGAUUAAUACAACACAUAUUUCCAUAGAUAGGCGGAGCUUAAGGUGGAAUAGAGCAGAAGAGCUCAAAGAGGCUUGAUACACCUACUUAUAGAUCAUUAAAUUCAAAUUACAUACAACAAUGCUCAUCAUCUGCUCUGUUUUAACAUUUGUCUUGAGUUAUGGUGAAGCUAAUAAAAGUCCUAUCAGUUCAGAUAAAGCAUCUGUGUCUUUAAACCAAGGCAGUAAUGCUACUCUGUCCUGUACAUUUGAUGAAUCAGCUUACCGUCUCCACUGGUAUCGACAGAAGUCCGGAUCGAAGUUAGAGUUUUUGGUGCUGAUUGAUAAAUCCUCCAAAUUUGUAGUGCCCGCUAGUCCACCUCUUCCACAUAUGUCCACCAGUCUCCAUAAUAACAAUCGAGUGGAUCUGAUCAUCUCCUCUGCUGCUGUAUCAGACUCUGCUCUGUACUACUGUGCUCUGGAGCCCACAGUGACAGGAAAGCCUGCAACACAGUACAAAAUCCAAGUUUUGAUGAUUAUUUUAAAUGAAUAAAUUACUUGUACUGAGGCUUUUGCAUAUACAGUAUAUAGUCCUCCAUGAUUCUCUGUUUAUACUGCAUUUCAGCAAUCAUAAUUUAACUGCUCAUGAUGACCACCAAUAGAACUAGUUAAAAUGUCAGAAUUGUAGACUACCAGUAAACUAAUAACUAAUUGCCAUGAUCUGUGGUUUGACUAGCUAAACUCCAUUUAUUCUUAUUUUAUUCACACAUUUUUUUUCUACCUCAAAACAAU
Molecule: non-coding RNA, 877 nt
Organism: Cyprinus carpio (common carp)
Lineage: Eukaryota; Metazoa; Chordata; Actinopteri; Cypriniformes; Cyprinidae
Source: the annotation of a RefSeq genome assembly